Molecule: unclassified non-coding RNA, 23 nt
Filed under: Mus musculus (house mouse)
Lineage: Eukaryota; Metazoa; Chordata; Mammalia; Rodentia; Muridae
Description: oocyte_clustered_small_RNA7655
Source: RNAcentral
UCCUACUCACAAGGGGCCUUUCC